Molecule: ribosomal RNA, 497 nt
Filed under: uncultured bacterium
Lineage: Bacteria
Description: partial 16S ribosomal RNA
Rfam family: Bacterial small subunit ribosomal RNA
Source: RNAcentral
GACGAACGCUGGCGGCGUGCCUAAUACAUGCAAGUAGAACGCUGAAGAGAGGAGCUUACUCUUCUUGGAUGAGUUGCGAACGGGUGAGUAACGCGUAGGUAACCUGCCUUGUAGCGGGGGAUAACUAUUGGAAACGAUAGCUAAUACCGCAUAACAAUGGAUGACACAUGUCAUUUAUUUGAAAGGGGCAAUUGCUCCACUACAAGAUGGACCUGCGUUGUAUUAGCUAGUAGGUGAGGUAAUGGCUCACCUAGGCGACGAUACAUAGCCGACCUGAGAGGGUGAUCGGCCACACUGGGACUGAGACACGGCCCAGACUCCUACGGGAGGCAGCAGUAGGGAAUCUUCGGCAAUGGGGGCAACCCUGACCGAGCAACGCCGCGUGAGUGAAGAAGGUUGUCGGAUCGUAAAGCUCUGUUGUAAGUCAAGAACGGGUGUGAGAGUGGAAAGUUCACACUGUGACGGUAGCUUACCAGAAAGGGACGGCUAACUACGUG